AUGCUUCUCCAUUCAGUUAUUCUGCUCUCUGCUUUAGCAUGUGCCAGUAGUGAAGAUACCAUUACAGCAGACAAAACAGAGGAGUUUGGUGAUGAUGGUUCAAAUUUGACUUUAUCCUGCACUUUUUCAUCUGCAUGGUCUUUACUUUGGUACCGUCAGUAUCCUGGAUCAGCUCCUGAGUUCCUUGUAAUCAUCGCAGAAAGGUCUAAACGAGUAGAGAAGUCUGAUGUUGAUCAACGAUUUACAACAAAGAUCAGAUUAGAGAAGGAAAAGCAUGUGGAUCUGCUCCUGUCCUCUGCUGUAGUAUCAGACUCUGCUGUGUAUUACUGUGCUCUGACACCCAUGAUGGCCACAGUGACUGAAAACACACAAGCACAGAACAAAAACCUUCCUGUAUAA
Molecule: non-coding RNA, 399 nt
Organism: Danio aesculapii
Lineage: Eukaryota; Metazoa; Chordata; Actinopteri; Cypriniformes; Danionidae
Source: the annotation of a RefSeq genome assembly